UUGCCCUGGCAGCCUCCUCCUCAGCUGGUGGGUUUGGCCAGGCAGAGGAUGAACCACUCCUGCCUCCUGCUGCACUCCCUGCUCCUUCUCACACCUGCUCUGUUGUGUCUGAAGCACAACCCCUUCAGCUCAGCCCUGAACAGAAGAGAGCAUUAAUUAAGAUAUUUGUUCCUAAUUAAGGUAUUAAGGUAUUGCCAUAACACCAACAAAGAGCACGGCUUUAUUCUCUCUCUGCUUAUGGGUUUUGUAGCAUUGGGUGCAGGUGGUGAGGUGACACUACCAUCCCAAAAACACCUCCAGAGAGGAGAGUGUCUGGGCUACAAUCACACUCACACACACUCACUCACAGACACACACACUCACUCACAGACACACACACUCACACACACUCACGGACGCACACUCACUCACACACACUCACACACAUACACACACACUCACUCACACACAUACACACAGACACACUCACUCACAGACACACACACACACACUCACUCACGGACGCACACUCACUCACACACACUCACACACAUACACACACUCACUCACGGACGCACACNACACACACUCACUCACGGACGCACACUCACUCACACACACUCACACACAUACACACACUCACUCACGGACGCACACACUCACAGACACACACACACACUCACUCACGGACGCACACACACUCACACACACUCACACCCUCACGGACGCACACACACACUCACUAACACACAUACACACACACACACUCACUCAUGGACGCACACUCACACACACUCACUCACAGACACACACACUCACUCACACACAUACACACACACUCAUGGACGCACACACACACUCACACACACACACUACAUACACUCACACUCUCACACACACACUCACACACACUCACUCACAGAUGCACACUCACACACACACACACUCACUCACGGAUGCACACUCACGCACACUCACGCACACACACACACUCUCACACACACACACACUCACUCACUCACGGAUGCACACUCACGCACACGCACACUCACGCACACACACACACUCACACACUCACACACACACUCACACACUCACACUCACACACCACAGACAGCUGAGCGACAGCCCAGAGCCAGGAAAGGUCUCUGUAUGGAGCUCCCAUGGGGUUCAUUGCAGCCACACACUGAAGGGGCCUAGGAACAAAGCCAGCGAGCAAUGGAGGGGCCAGG
This 1211-nucleotide long non-coding RNA is filed under the name Parus major (Great Tit). RNAcentral's name for it is "lncRNA (ENSPMJG00000015829.1)". The record is from RNAcentral. Lineage: Eukaryota; Metazoa; Chordata; Aves; Passeriformes; Paridae.